AUGGAUCGUCUUAUCAUGGAUGACGUCCUCGCGACGCCGAUCACCACACAAUCAUCAUGUUGCGGCAUAGCACCGCAACUAACCAUCAACGCCAUCGUGCCGCCAACAGCGCCCACCUUGCGCCGUCUUGCCGUGGACGACGCUGUCGCGGCGCCGAGUACCACGACCUCUUGCCGCAUGCAGCGGCCAUGUCUUCACGUGGACGACGCCUUCGCGGCGCCGAUCGCCACGCCGUCUUCUCCUCAUAACGGCCUCGUGCCAUCGUACCUCCCAUCGGCGUCACACCGUCGUCUUGUGGCAGCUUCACACCGCCAUCAUCUAGCGGCAUCACACCGCAACCGGCCACCGGCAGCAUCGCGCCGCCGACGGCCACCCACCUCGUGCCAACGUCCUCCACCUCACAUGGAGUCCGCCGCGUCGUCGUCGCCGCCAUCGCUUCUGCGGAUCGACAAGGCUCUGAUGCCAAUCGUUGGCGCCGCCUCCUCGCAGCGCCGCUCUUCUUCUUCUACCUCGAGCUGCCUCGCACAACUCUCUCUUCUCUCUUCUAUGGUUUCUCUCAAGAACACCUGA
This 570-nucleotide ribosomal RNA is filed under the name Triticum aestivum (bread wheat). RNAcentral's name for it is "partial small subunit ribosomal RNA". The record is from RNAcentral. Lineage: Eukaryota; Viridiplantae; Streptophyta; Magnoliopsida; Poales; Poaceae.